CCUACGGGGGGCUGCAGUGGGGAAUAUUGGACAAUGGGCGAAAGCCUGAUCCAGCCAUGCCGCGUGUGUGAAGAAGGCCUUCGGGUUGUAAAGCACUUUCAGUGGGGAAGAAAGCCUUGGGGCUAAUACCCUCGAGGAAGGACAUCACCCACAGAAGAAGCACCGGCUAACUCCGUGCCAGCAGCCGCGGUAAUACGGAGGGUGCGAGCGUUAAUCGGAAUUACUGGGCGUAAAGCGCGCGUAGGCGGUCUGAUAAGCCGGUUGUGAAAGCCCCGGGCUCAACCUGGGAACGGCAUCCGGAACUGUCAGGCUAGAGUGCAGGAGAGGAAGGUAGAAUUCCCGGUGUAGCGGUGAAAUGCGUAGAGAUCGGGAGGAAUACCAGUGGCGAAGGUGGCCUUCUGGACUGACACUGACGCUGAGGUGCGAAAGCGUGGGUAGCAAACAGGAUUAGAUACCCCGGUAGUC
RNAcentral lists this ribosomal RNA (465 nucleotides) under Vreelandella stevensii. RNAcentral describes it as "partial 16S ribosomal RNA". It matches the Rfam family "Bacterial small subunit ribosomal RNA", at positions 338 to 795 of the family's 1533-position model. The record is from RNAcentral. Lineage: Bacteria; Pseudomonadati; Pseudomonadota; Gammaproteobacteria; Oceanospirillales; Halomonadaceae.